GACGAACGCUGGCGGCGUGCUUAACACAUGCAAGUCGAACGGGCCCGCCCCUGUUUUUGGGGGUGGGUUGAGUGGCGAACGGGUGAGUAUCACGUGAGUAACCUGCCCCCUGCUCCUGGAUAACUGCUUGAAAGGGCGGCUAAUACGGGGUGUGCCGGCUGGUCCGCAUGGGCCUGGUCGGGAUAGUUUCAUCUUCGGGUGGUUCGGUGGGGGAUGGGCUCGCGGCCUAUCAGCUUGUUGGGGGGGGGAUGGCCCACCAAGGCGGUGACGGGGAGCCGGCCUGAGAGGGUGGGCGGCCACACUGGGACUGAGACACGGCCCAGACUCCUGCGGGAGGCAGCAGUGGGGGGUAUUGCACAAUGGGCGGAAGCCUGAUGCAGCGACGUCGCGUGAGGGAUGGAGGCCGUCGGGUUGUGAACCUCUUUCUCCGGUGGUGAAGGCCCUGUCCGUUGCGGCGGGGUUGACGGUAGCCGGGUAUGAAGCGCCGGCUAACUACGUG
This 499-nucleotide ribosomal RNA is filed under the name uncultured bacterium. RNAcentral describes it as "partial 16S ribosomal RNA". It matches the Rfam family "Bacterial small subunit ribosomal RNA", at positions 28 to 507 of the family's 1533-position model. The record is from RNAcentral.